Long non-coding RNA from Vidua macroura (Pin-tailed whydah), 997 nucleotides. RefSeq lists it as uncharacterized. The transcript is spliced from 3 exons. Lineage: Eukaryota; Metazoa; Chordata; Aves; Passeriformes; Viduidae. The record is from RefSeq and is a predicted model, not a curated record.
UGGAACACCACAGCCAGCCUUUUCCCACUAGAUUCCCAGAGGAAGACCAAGCCCAUCUACACCACCACUGGACCUUCAGAGGAAGACUACACCCUUCUACAGAACCACACCUGUCACUCCAGGAUGACUGCAGCCACCAUUUAAUGGGACUACUACCGACAUCCUGACCCACAGGCUGUCAGGCUGUAUUCUAACUCUGUUUAUUAAACCUUAGCAAAAAUACAACAAAAGGACUAAAUAAGGAAAAACAGGCCUGGGAGCCCACCUCGUGGCUGCCUACCAGGUGGCUCAGCUUUUAGAUGGAUGCUUUGCCUUUUAUACCUCUGGCAGGGCCCAUCCCCGGGCUGUCAAGCCCGUGCCCGGGGCACUCACCCCACAGGAGCAGCGUCACCUUCCUGGCCAUCCCGCUGUCCCCAGCCAUGUGGACUGGCUGUCACUGGCUGCUGUGGCCACCGCUCCCCUGGCUGGCGGCUCUUUGGAUGAAGGGGAAGGAAGCGAGGUCACGUCUCGUCCCCCCGUGUAGCUGGCACCUACUGGGGGCAGGGUGGGGACCUGGUGGGACAUGGAGGUGAUGGUGGGACAUGGUGUUGCUAGAAUUUGGAGGCUGAGGAGGUGUAGGGAGCCAAGGAUGGGUGUCCAGGGGAAUGAGGUGCCCAGGCAUGGGCUCCCAGGGGAAUGGGUGUUCCAAGGGUUGGCUGGACUCAGACUUGGGGAUGAGGGCCCCAGAACAACAUGACCUCCAGGGAUCUAUGAUCAUGGGAUGGGGGCCAAUGGAUGAAGUGCCAGGGGAAAGGGGGGCCCUGUGAGAAUGGGGGUCCUAGGGGAAUCAAGGUCCCCAAGUGAAGGUGGGUUCCAGGGGCUGGAAUUACCAGGAUGGGGUUCUGUGGAAUGGAGGAAUGGGGUUCCUGGGGAAUUGCAGACCAGGGAUGGGGGUCCCAGGGAAGGGGGGACAGAAGGAAUGGGGGUCCCAUGGUUGGGGUCCCAGGGGAAUGGGGGG